Molecule: unclassified non-coding RNA, 2877 nt
Filed under: Hevea brasiliensis (rubber tree)
Lineage: Eukaryota; Viridiplantae; Streptophyta; Magnoliopsida; Malpighiales; Euphorbiaceae
Source: RNAcentral
CUUCAGGCUCCAUCCCUCUCCCCCUUUGUGAUUUCUCUUGAAUCUUACAAUGGCUACUGGAAAUGCUUACCUGACUACACCCACGAAAACCCCAUCAUCGACGUCCUCUUCGUCCCUCACAAGGAAACAACAGAACCCAAACUCCACCACCACCACCACCUCCUCUUCCAGCUCCAGAUUCGAGGCCUACAAUCGCUUGCAAGCGGCCGCCGUAGCCUUCGGCGAGAAACUCCCUAUCCCUGAGAUCGUAGCACUUGGUGGACAAUCCGAUGGCAAGAGCUCGCUUCUCGAAGCACUACUGGGAUUCCGCUUCAAUGUCUGUGAGGUCGAGAUAGGCACCCGCAGGCCCCUCAUUCUCCAGAUGGUCCAUGAUCCUAAUGCUCCGGAGCCCCGUUGUCGUUUUCAGGAAGAGGAUUCUAAGGAAUAUGGGAGCCCUGUUGUGUCAGCCACAACAAUUGCAGAUAUUAUAAGAUCACGUACAGAGGCGCUUUGAAAAGAACUAAAGCUGCAGUUUCUUCUAAGUUGUGAUGAGAGCUGAAUAUGCACAUUGUCCUAACCUAACCAUUAUUGAUACCCCGGGCUUUGUUCUUAAGGCAAAGAAGGGAGAACCAGAGAAAACUCCAGAAGCAAUUCUUUCAAUGGUGAAGUCAUUGGCUAGCCCACCCCACCGCAUUCUCUUGUUCCUUCAACAAAGUAGUUUGGAAUGGUGUUCAUCCCUGUGGUUGGAUGCAAUUAGGGAGAUUGACCCGACUUUCAGAAGGACUAUAAUAGUUGUCUCCAAAUUUGACAAUCGGCUCAAGGGAUCUUUGAUUGAUGGAGCGGCAGAUCCUUCACCAGAGCAGUGGGGGAAAACAACAGAAGAGGAGCGGUCAGAGAUUGGUAUUGGGAGUUGGCCAGGUGUUACUGUCAUCAUAAAACCUCCUAAUGCUACUCUUAGGCUCUAUGGAGGGGCUGCUUUUGAAAGAGUGAUACAUGAGUUCAGGUGUGCUGCAUAUUCCAUUGAAUGCCCCCCAGUGUCAAGGGAGAAGGUGGCAAAUAUAUUGCUUGCCCAUGCUGGCCGAGGAGGGGGCAGAGGUGUAACAGAAGCUUCUGCAGAGAUUGCCCGUGCUGCUGCCCGGUCAUGGCUUGCUCCUCUUCUUGACACUGCUUGUGAUAGGCUUGCCUUUGUUUUGGGGAAUCUCUUUGAUCUUGCUCUGGAAAGAAAUCGUGUUCGUGACUCAGAAUGUGAGAGGCUGUUGUCUUCGCUGUACUAGACUAAGUUGUUUGAUACAUUUUUGUUUUCUUUUGCAAACCUAUGAAGGGACAAGUUAUGGUAGUUUCCUGUUAUGAAUAGUGCAUGCGAUGCUUAUUGGACAAUGAAUAAUCAUGUAGGGAGAACAUCAUUAGCCAAAUGUAUGUGUCUUACUGUUAGCGUGUAGAACUUCUUUGACUGUACAUCACAUGAGAUCCUACAACAACAGUGAAUCUUUAGUUAUUUCCCUCUCAUUGUCUCUAUAUUCUAUUCACGUUCAAAUCCUGAGAUAUCGAUGACAGCAUCUAAGCAGUUUGUAUUGACUGCAACAUUUUUCUCUUUUCUGAUCUUUUUGUUAGUUUUCUUAAUGCUAAUUGUUUCCAAAUGAUUUGCAAACUGUGGGUUGCUUUUCCAAUUGUGCAGAUGCAAAGCAAAGUGGAAAUAUGGAUGGAUAUGUUGGGUUUUAUGCUGCCUUAAGGCAUGCUUACAAUCGAUUCAUAAAGGAUCUGGCCAAACAAUGCAAGCAAUUAGUUAGACAUCAUCUUGAUUCAGUUACCAGCCCAUAUUCUCAGGUUUGUUAUGAGAAUGAAUUUCAAGGAGGCUUUGGCUCAAGUGGGACAUCUAUUUUUAAAUUGAACCAAGCAUCUGCUGGUUCAUUUUAUUUUGAGCUAUCAGAUGCCUGGGAAUCAUCUCAUGAUGAAACAAUGAGAGACCAAGAGAACAUACCUCCAGAGAAGAAUGUACAGCAAACCACUCCAGGAAAAGGAGCAGAAGCUAGAGAAGCUCUCAAAGAAAGCCAAAUGACUGUGCCUGAGACUCCAUCUCCUGACCAACCAUGUGAUGUUGCAUAUGGUGGGGCGAAGAAGGAGCAUGGAAACUGCAUUGAAAUUGGACCAAGAAAGCGGAUUUCAAGAAUGACAGGAAAUAGUAAUGAACUUUUAAGAGUUCAAAAUGGUGGCAGUCUUCUAUUUGGAAAUGUGGAUAGUGGUUCAAGAUCGCGCUCAGCUUACUCAGAAAUUUGCUCAUCUGCUGCACAGCAUUUUGCACGGAUACGUGAAGUUCUUGUUGAGAGAAGUGUGAUGUCAACCUUGAACUCCGGAUUUCUGACCCCCUGCCGGGAUCGGCUAGUUGUGGCACUUGGGUUGGAUUUGUUUGCUGUGAGUGAUGAGAAAUUUUUGGACAUGUUUGUUGCACCUGGUGCCAUUGAUGUGCUACAGAAUGAGCGACAAUCUCUUCAGAAGCGUCAGAAAAUACUCCAGUCCUGCUUGAACGAGUUCAAAAGUGUCGCUCGUGCUCUGUGAUGGCAGCCUAGUUCCACAUCUAGCAAAUGUUUCACUUCCUAGUGAACAUGCAAAGUUCACACACCAGGGCCCUACUUAUUAAUCUCUAAGCUUUGUUAUAGAUGGAACCAUUUCAUUAUUUGAUAACCGAGUUAUCAUUCCUGUAAUACUUGCAAAAAUUUUGGUUCCUGCUAUUGUGGACACUGUACAGAAUAUGGUUUCUAUGAUGCUCAAUUUAAAUUGAUGCGUCAAAUAUCAACUGGGAAACUGCCAAUUUAUGUUCUUUUCCUGAAAUCAUUUUGCCCCCUUCCAGGCUACCGCUUCUAGCGCAAAUAUCAAAGUCAGGACCUUUGUUCGAGUAAAGCC